This 1887-nucleotide long non-coding RNA is filed under the name Triticum aestivum (bread wheat). RNAcentral's name for it is "long non-coding RNA (TAES_LNC010015)". Lineage: Eukaryota; Viridiplantae; Streptophyta; Magnoliopsida; Poales; Poaceae. The record is from RNAcentral.
AAGGUUUGCAAUAUAGAGAUGACAUGAUGCAAAACAGUUAAAAAUCCAAUCUUUACAAGAUAUCAAACACCAUAGUAAGAGAAACUUGCUACAGAACAUUUUGUUUGUAGGCUAUCAAAUUGAAAUUAGAGCAAAAUGCGAGUAUUACAUAAUUAUCAUGAAUCAAACAUAAGAUAACUAUCGUUGAUAACACGCUACUGACAAAAAUAAAAUGUCCUCUAAACCACCAGAACACAGCAAAAAAGGCCCUCCCAUCCUCGCUUAGCAACCACGGCGCAUCUAAAACGGAUGAAACAAAAACCAUGAAACCGUGAAUAAACCAUAUAUAUUAAGAAAAGCAAACGUGUAAAAAACGUGAAUUAAACCUUGUCAACCACGACACAUCCAUGUAAAUCGUGUAAAACAGGAGCAUGAUACAACAUUGCAUUUUUCCAUGCUAUUAAGUAUAUGGCGAACAGAGCAUCGAGCAAUAGCUACUGUUUCGACGACGGAACCAAGAACAGCAUCAAGUCAUAAUAAAAAAUAUUAGUUGAGUCCAAGAAUAGCAUCAGGUCAAGAACUUCAAAUACCUACAGUAAACAUUUGACUAGAAAACUGUAUGAAAGAAAACUAUAUGGAAAAUUCAGGAAGCUGGCAAGUUCAGUACAGUGCUAAACUAGCAUGUAUUAAGUAUACUACAUGUUCCUGUGACCCUGUGCCCAAAAGUCCAUCCAUACAGCUCAUAACAUCUUUAAAUUUAAACCGUUCAUGCACCUCACAUCAUUUUAACAAGAAAACAAGUCCUGAUCAAAUCAGGAUGGAUGGCUAAAUGUCCGCCAUUUGCACUGCAAAAAUUCAAGAUCAUAGCAAGAGGUUAGUAUUAAUGCUGCCUUUCUCAGGUGAAUGGCAAAAAGAAUCGGUCGAGUAUUUGCCUCGAAGAUAGGAGAGGGCUACUUACCAAAUCUUAGUUGAGGAUGUAACCUGAAAAAAUAAACUAACAAGGGGGACUCCACAAAAAUAAUCACUAUGACCUUUAUAAACCAGAGAACACAUACAGCCACAAUAUGAAGGAGCAUCACUCAAUAGCAGCAAGAGAAUCAUAUGAGAACUACAAUCUUAUUGUCAAACAGUUGACAUUUCCAUAGUAGUAUUGCAUCUUCAUGUCUUCUCAAACAAAAGCAAUACAGACCAACUUGGAAUAGGAUACAGAACAACAAGAAACAAAUUAUGUAAGAUCUUAUCUGUUAAUUGAUUAAGAUUCAGGCAAAGGAAAACUCGGAACAGGCAGGUCGGAUGAUACAUAAUCAUUCAGACUAGAAACAAACAUCCACCUAAUCAAUCGAGUGACUGAUGACGACUUGUACAAUACAAGGUAUAAAGAAUAUUUAUAAGCACGAUUCAUCCAGACAAACAUGUGCAACUGAACGCGCAUCUGACCCUAGUUAUAAACAGAAACAAAUGCAAAUAAAAAUGAAUAUACACCAAACUUGAGAUAAUAUAUAUUUUCUAAGCUUGGCAGAAUAUUGCCUAUACAAUAUCUACAGAGAGACAAUCACUUGCCCGGUCUGUUUGGAGUGUAACCUGUAUUGGCUUAAGCUGGGUAAUGAAUGACUGCUCACAUGAUAGCCUGCAAAUAGAGACAAAUUAGCAAAGCGACACUCAAACAAGGAAAAAACAAUUGAACAAAAGAAAAUAGUACUACAUUGCUAACAGUUUACUAAACAGUGAUCGGCAAACAUCUGUACAUUUGCUAGGUAGGACAUUGGUAGGUAAGACUUAAGAGCGACAUAAUUCAGUUGCAUAUGCCACUUCUGAUUUAUCCAAGAACACAAAUUCCAGCACAAAUCUUGCAGUAGGAUAACAUGGUCAGAGCACACACCAUCAUCUAACCACAGAGCACCGUCGGAG